This is a long non-coding RNA of Carassius gibelio (silver crucian carp), 2763 nucleotides long. RefSeq lists it as uncharacterized. The record is from RefSeq and is a predicted model, not a curated record. The transcript is spliced from 3 exons. NCBI's taxonomy places the organism in Eukaryota, Metazoa, Chordata, Actinopteri, Cypriniformes, Cyprinidae.
UCUCAGAAAAAAAGGUACAUGGUGGUACAAAUAAUGUUCCUCGAAGAACGGUUUUGUACCUUUUUAAUAAUUGUACCCUAAAUGGUACAGGAAAGACCUCUGAUGAUACUGUUUGGUACCUUUUAAGGUACAACUGAAAUGAAGGUACAAAAUUGUUCUCACAUCAAGGGUACAUUGAAUACCUGUCAACCUUGAUAGACAGUUCCCUUAUUAUUACAUUUGCAAAUAGCAUACAAUCUCUGUGAACGAAAAUGAUUAAAUAGUAAAGAUAUGAAUAAUUUACAGAUUAAAAUAAUUAAAUGAGUUUAUACAACUGUCUUAAAUGUACAUUAUCAUAACAGUUCUGAAAAUAGUGCUAAAAACAUGUGAAAACCACUAGGAAACAGGUUUUGUGAUAUUUAUAAAACAAAAUACAUGCAGUUUUUUUAAUAAAUAUUUUAUUAGACAAUCAUGAUGAAAUAGAUUUAUCAUUGGUAUCCACGCAAUUUGUCGUUUGCUUUCCUUUGCAAUCCGACCAAAUUACUGUUUCAUGCACGAUUGGUUGCUGUGUUAAAUAAUUUGCAUAGCAACAAGACACUGAUUGGUCGAAUUCGGCAGCGCUGCUGCAGCCGUUACGGAAUUUUCUCUGUCAUUACUGAGAGCGGGAAGAAGCACUUCUGAAACACACGUCCAGGCAUUUUGCUUCUGUCUUUUUCGACUUAAAAGCUCAAAAAUAUUAAGAAGGUGGAUUUAAAUGAUCAAAUAGUUUGUAGACGAAAUGUAAAGAACGGAGAGCGGGAAGCAGACGACCAUGGCUUUGUCGUCGAUGUCGUCAGAAGAACUCCUAUUAAAAUUAACAGAGGCCGGACUCGAAUUGUCAGAGGAAGAAAAGAGAAAAUUCAAAGAUUUUGAAGUUGAUGGGGAAACUGUCAGUGCUGGUCUCACGGAUCACAUGAUAGCACAACUUUUUGAGAAGUCUUUUAAGAAGCAAGUUAAAUUUAUCAAACUUAUCCAACAACUUGAAGAGAACCAGAGUGAAGAACCGUCUGAAAGUCUGACUACACCUUCAGCUUUGAGGCAAGUAUUAGUAUUGUUUUAUUUAUGUUCCCUUAUAUUUUCUUCUGAUUGACUGAUUUUCCUUAAGUCCUUAAAUUUUGUAUUAAUUUUUUUGCCAGAAUGACAUUGAUGUCAGUCUUGAUAAAGCACAGUAAAACUGCACUUCAAAGUCUGAAAGAUUUCACAGAAGUAACUUUAUUAGAAGUCUAUUAACCCAAAACUCUGAUGCUUCAAAACUUCAAUAAAGAGAUCGUAAAAUAAGUCCAAAUGAAUUAAGUCGGUUAAUUAAUUUGUUUAUUUAAAAUCUGGCCAUCAUUUUAUGUUACAAAAAGUGCAUAAUGCUGCUAAUUUUUGUUGGUUUCGCCAUAUAACUCUGUGAAGUGAUUUCAGUAUAUGUGAGUACUUUUUGAACAUUCCAGAACAUUUUAUCAAUAUCUGCGUUUACUUGGACACUUGUAAUUGAAUUGAUGGCUCAAUCGGACUAAAAAACCUUCAUGUUAACACCUUAAUCGAUCUGAUUUAGCUUGAUCCAGAUGAAAUUUAGAUCGGAUUGAAAUGGGCGGUUUAUCCCUUUUGUAAUCCGAUCGAGAAAACAUGUAAACACUUGAUCGGAUUGAAAACCGAAACUGAAAGGACUGUGCAAUGACGUUAAAUAGCGUAAUGACGUAUGACGCGUGGAACGAGCUGUUCUUCCUGUUGAAUAAAGUGUCAUAUUAAUAAGUUUCCCGUCAUUCUAAAAUCCUAAUUUCACUCGCGUCUCUGUGAAGUGAAGCAGGACAACGUCCCACCAGUCCUUGUUUUGGAUUCUAAUCCAAAGAUGUCUGGUUUUGGCCGUGGUGAGGGGCAUUUUUCCUGCGUGAUCAAUAAGCAGCACGGCAAAACGGUUAAUCUGCUCUAAAUUAUGAUCAGAGACAAAUUAAUAUUAUGUCUGCUGUUUAAAACAAAUAAAUAACCAAUAGAGGAGAAUAUUUAUGCGCGAACAGCCGGAAACUCUGUAUAUUUGUGCAGUGUGCGCAUGUCAAAACAUCAAAUCCGAUUUGAAACUUGUGACACAUAAACGCGCACAUCAACCCGAUUACUUUAUUUAUCAUUCAUGUAAACACCUUGUUCGGAUUCAUCAAUUGUAUUGAUUUCAUUCUGAUUGUGUCCAUGUAAACGUAGCUAAUGCUGUUAAAAUUCAGAGAUCAUUUUGGUCACUAUAAUCGUGAUAUGAACAUUUCAUAUUGUUUCAUCUCUAUUCUGCGUCAUUCCUCUGUCUAAACAGCCAAGAGCAAAGAAUUUCAGCCCCAUUCCUCGUCUUCUCACUACCAAAUUCCCAAAAGAUGUUCAGUUAAAAUUGGAUAACAAAGAACCAUGUCAUAAGAUCAGCACUUACCGGCAUAAAAUUGUACGAGUGCUGCACGAGACUAUGGCUCAGCACACACUGUAAGUUUAAUAAACACUAUUUUGUUUUUUAAAUUCCAAACCCUGGUAAACAUUUGUAGUAAAUUUGCGCACUUUUUUUAAUCUUCUGAUAGAUAUCCUUCAAACAGUGACUAUGUUUGUGCAGUCAAGGCUCUUAUCUCCAAAUACCCUUACCUGAGAGAUGCAGAGGGAAAUGGAUAUGUAAGUCAACUGUUUAAUAUUUAUUUUUUAGACAUUAAUGUAAUAUACAAUUUAUAGACAUGCUUAAAAGGUCAUGAAACCUGCUGUUUCAGCACCAGUUGGUUCUUGCUACAGUUUAAUUUU